CGGAGGAUCCAAGCGUUAUCCGGAUUUAUUGGGUUUAAAGGGUGCGUAGGCGGAAUUGUGAGUCAGUGGUGAAAUCCCUUCGCCUAACGAAGGAACUGCCAUUGAUACUGCAAAUCUUGAGUACAUUUGAUGUGGGCGGAAUGUGUCAUGUAGCGGUGAAAUGCUUAGAUAUGACACAGAACACCGAUUGCGAAGGCAGCUCACAAAACUGUAACUGACGCUGAGGCACGAAAGCGUGGGUAUCAAACAGGAUUAGAUACCCUGGUAGUCCACGCUGUAAACCAUGAUUACUCGAUGUUUGCGAUACACUGUAAGCGUCUAAGCGAAAGCGAUAAGUAAUCCACCUGGGGAGUACGCUCGCAAGAGUG
This 368-nucleotide ribosomal RNA is filed under the name uncultured organism. RNAcentral's name for it is "bacterial SSU rRNA". It matches the Rfam family "Bacterial small subunit ribosomal RNA", at positions 526 to 896 of the family's 1533-position model. The record is from RNAcentral.